GUGUGUGUGUGUGUGUGUGUAUUUAGCAGUCUGUGUGUGUAUUCAGCAGACUGUGUGUGUAUUCAGCAGUCUGCUAAAUACAGACAGACUGCUAAGUACACAGACAGACUG
This 111-nucleotide microRNA precursor is filed under the name Pelobates cultripes (western spadefoot toad). Lineage: Eukaryota; Metazoa; Chordata; Amphibia; Anura; Pelobatidae. The record is from RNAcentral.